RNAcentral lists this ribosomal RNA (460 nucleotides) under uncultured bacterium. RNAcentral's name for it is "partial 16S ribosomal RNA". It matches the Rfam family "Bacterial small subunit ribosomal RNA", at positions 338 to 795 of the family's 1533-position model. The record is from RNAcentral.
CCUACGGGAGGCAGCAGUGAGGAAUAUUGGUCAAUGGACGAGAGUCUGAACCAGCCAAGUAGCGUGAAGGAUGACUGCCCUAUGGGUUGUAAACUUCUUUUAUAUGGGAAUAAAAUGUUCCACGUGUGGGAUUUUGUAUGUACCAUAUGAAUAAGGAUCGGCUAACUCCGUGCCAGCAGCCGCGGUAAUACGGAGGAUCCGAGCGUUAUCCGGAUUUAUUGGGUUUAAAGGGAGCGUAGGCGGAUUGUUAAGUCAGUUGUGAAAGUUUGCGGCUCAACCGUAAAAUUGCAGUUGAAACUGGCAGUCUUGAGUACAGUAGAGGUGGGCGGAAUUCGUGGUGUAGCGGUGAAAUGCUUAGAUAUCACGAAGAACUCCGAUUGCGAAGGCAGUUCACUGGACUGCAACUGACACUGAGGCUCGAAAGUGUGGGUAUCAAACAGGAUUAGAUACCCGAGUAGUC